Long non-coding RNA from Sorghum bicolor (sorghum), 514 nucleotides. RefSeq lists it as uncharacterized. The record is from RefSeq and is a predicted model, not a curated record. The transcript is spliced from 2 exons. NCBI's taxonomy places the organism in Eukaryota, Viridiplantae, Streptophyta, Magnoliopsida, Poales, Poaceae.
CGUGCGAACCCAGGGGACGACGUCUUCAACACCAUAAUGUGCGUCAAGUGCGGCAUGUAUGGGCGGCUGACGCCUCUGGUCACUGACCUGCCUCGAAGCGACGAGCGCAUGGAUAUCGUCGUCUUCACUGCCGGAUCACCAGAUGUUGAGCAGUUAGUGUACCCAGAUGUUGAUGCACAGGGACAAUAGAGGGAUACGGGAGCAGAACUUCUGACAACAGCAUCACGAGCCCUCUUUCAGGAAUCAGAGGUCGGAAUACUUCGGAUGCAACGACUUGAGAAUUACGAGUCUUCUUUUGUUCAGAAAGUUUUCAGAAAACUCAGUAGCUUUCUGUUUCUGUUAGUUAGGUUUGGUGCGUUCCCCUGAAUGGAUGGGUUUCAAUUGGUCUUUCAUUUUCAGAACUUACUGGUGAAAGUGUUAUGUGAUGGACAAUUUUGCGAAGUAACACUUGUGGUAGUUACCAUCUUCAUCUCCUUGGGAUGACAACUAACAAGAAUAGAUGUUGCUUGUAGUA